CUGAGCAGCAACCGAUUAGUUAUUUUGAAGGUGUAAUCGCAACACAUUUUAUGAAUAACUCUAUUUUUCCGUGUACUCUAAUAUGUGGUAUAUGUUUUUGAAAGGUCGAAUAAGCCAAUAGUCAUGCAUAAUCAAUUUUUUCUCCGAUUUCUAAUAAAUUUUAAUAGAAGCAUAUUAUAUGUUUACCCAAUUUUUUUUUUAACUUAAUAAACAAACUUAUGAUUAAAAAAAAUUAUUAAACGAUUUAAGGUCGCCUCAUGUGGACUAUAGCCUUUAAAAAUGUUUUAAAAUAUUAAACUAUUUUUUGAUUCCCAAGUAUGGACAUUUUAGUUUUUCAGUGCAGUUUAAUAAACAGCAAAAAUAAACAAAACGAGAAAAUCAGCAAAAACGAUCGAAACACCCGUACCGAAUACCGUGACUGCAUCUAGGACCGCGUUUCCAAGGCCCAUGUCCGGAUCAUUAACGUGGGAGCUGUGCUGGCUGGAUACUUUCCGGACAAGGCGGAAAUGUUGAAAGUGAUUCUAAAAUUCAACAGCGGGAAAAGGAUCAAAUUUGUUUCCGGAAAAGGAGUUAAAUUUCAGUUUACAGGAACAAGCCUUCACCAGCUUCCAAUGGGCGCCGAUCAUCUGGAUGAAUUUUGCUGCACAUACUUAGCGAAUUUCUCCCCCUUGGGAAUGAAUUGUCGAUUGGAACAAAACUUCCAGGGGCAACCGGUUAAUUGGUUCUCAAUGGUACGGGGUUUCAAAGGAACCAAUAUUUUCCAUUCGGGGUCGGCAAAACAAAUCACGGCACGGAACGGAUAUUGGCUGGCCAGCGAAGUUUUCAACAAUAGUGAGACGGCUUGCCACUUUCGGAGCGUACGUCCUGCACCUCAUCACGGCUGUAAUAACAUCGAUCAAUGCACGCAAUUAUGAAGUUUCGGUUGUUUAGGUGGAAUCGUUGCGUUGCUAUCAGCCUAAUAGACGGGAAGGAAACGUUUUCCUGGCAACGGUUGACGUAGUGUUGCUGAUGAAGGACCAUAAUUUCCUAAACCGCUCGAAAAGCUCAACCGCGCUUAGGUUGUCCGGCCUACCUUAUCCAUACCAUUUGUAUGUGCAAAUUGAUGACCAGCAGGAAGGGAGCAACCAUGGCUUACUUGAGUUGAUGGGUCCGUUGAAAAUCAAAUAUCUGUCGUUAAGAUCAGUGAACGCUGAGCAGCAGACCAAACGACACCUUAGUUUUUUUCCAAGGUAAGAUGUCAUUUGGUACCCAGGGCUAACAGUAUCGAUGCACUGAGACGAUGAAAGAAGAAAAACACGAAAAAGUCUGGAAAUGGAUCAAUGAGAAAACCUUAUCGUUAAGGACCUGGAGAAACUCGGUGGAACAAUUUUCGGAAAUUCCAGUGAGAGUUGUGACCUCGCACCCCGGAAGUUUAUCCAUCUGGAGGAAAAAAGCGGCCAUGUACUUCAAAACAUAACAAAAUACAACAAGUAAGCAGAAUAUGUGCAAGUUUGUUAUUUCGAGCCAUUGUUGAAUAAAUGUGAUAAGAAAAGCUUACA
This is a long non-coding RNA of Uranotaenia lowii, 1538 nucleotides long. RefSeq lists it as uncharacterized. Lineage: Eukaryota; Metazoa; Arthropoda; Insecta; Diptera; Culicidae. The record is from RefSeq and is a predicted model, not a curated record. The transcript has 4 exons.